AGAGUUUGAUCAUGGCUCAGGAUAAACGCUGGCGGCGUGCCUAACACAUGCAAGUCGAACGCCCUGCGCAAGCAGGGAGUGGCGGACGGGUGAGGAACAUGUGGGUGAUCUACCCUUCGGUGAGGAAUACCGGCGAGAAAUCGCCGACAAAACCGCAUAGGCUUCGAGAGAAGCAAAGUCGCAAGACGCCGGAGGAGGAG
This 200-nucleotide ribosomal RNA is filed under the name uncultured bacterium. RNAcentral describes it as "partial 16S ribosomal RNA". It matches the Rfam family "Bacterial small subunit ribosomal RNA", at positions 8 to 229 of the family's 1533-position model. The record is from RNAcentral.